This 1358-nucleotide long non-coding RNA is filed under the name Nicotiana tabacum (common tobacco). Its description in RNAcentral is "long non-coding RNA (NTAB_LNC006557)". Lineage: Eukaryota; Viridiplantae; Streptophyta; Magnoliopsida; Solanales; Solanaceae. The record is from RNAcentral.
UAUACAUAUGUAGAUUUUUUACACCAAAAGUAUUCAUGGUUAAGGAAAAUUUAGGAUGAAUAGACUUGAGCCAAUUAGCCAUGGUGUUGGUCCCUUUAGCUUCACUUUCGCUUCCGAAUUCACACUUGCUUCAUAAAGAAUCUGUUACAAUUUGAAAUGGUAACUUCAAUUCAAGUCUGUCAUAUUAGCAAUUUAAUUUUCCUAUCCAACUUCCAUGGCAAAGGCAUUUGAAGGAAAAACAUUUAGGCUAAAAGUCAAUACAUAAUGCAUAAUGCACCAGAAAUUAAACAUCAAAAUUAUUAUUAAAAAAGGAAGACCAUAUAUAUUUUAUAUUGGGAUCAAAUAUUCUAAACACAUUAGUUCGGAUACAAUCAAAAUAAUAGGCUAAAAUCAGUUUUAAUCUUUUAAUUUUACGUUCCUUGAAACGGAAAAAAUACCCUGAUUUCCUAUUGAUGGUACGAGCAUCAGACAUAUGAGGAGGUAAACCCAAUACAUUUCGUUGGUUCUCCACUUGUUCAACAUCUGCAUUAAUUCCACCAAUUUUCCUAGUGUAAUGAACAAAAAUAGUGCCAUCUUGAUUCCUACUUCUUCCUUAUCAUGGCAGUUGCACCAUAUGAUGCAGUUAACCAACAUGGCUAACAAGUGAGGGGAUAUGAUGCAGGUCCACUACUGUAACUUGCAGGCAGAGUAAUUGCGUCUUUGGCAUAGUCUGAUUCCCACUAAAACUGACAAACGAUGAAAGCUGUGAAUUGGUAAAAUCACAAAAUGAGAAUUUACUUCGUAACCUGAAGCUUAUGCAAGGUUAUUAAAUAGGAAAAAGGAAUUAAAUAUAAGAAUUAUAACUGUAUUUAUGUGAAGAUUAAAAUGGAGUGUCCUUUCGGGGAUAAAAGAUAAAAAAGAAAGAUUGAAAAUAAACCAAAUUAUAAUUGCGAAUAAUUCUAUAUUAUGGUGGGAUAUGGCAGUUUGAGGACAUUAGCACAAUUUUAACCAUUCAAACAACAACAAUCACUCACACUAAUAUAACCAAUAACUAUGUCUAGAUUAAACAAAUUAUCUUUUUGUCUUCUACAUUUAGGUUUUACUCUUAGCGCAAAGUAAACGACAACUCCGAAUAGCUGCUAUUAUCUCCAAAAAAGAAAUAUCGUUGCAAUUUCUUUGCAAUUUGUUGGUAGAAGAACACAACUCCAAAUUAAUUUAAAUAACUUAACCAAAAUUAAUGUGUUCCGAACCUCACAAUGGGGAAAUCAAGAGGAGAACGGCGAGUCGUCUUCUCUUCUUCCGGCGCCAUAAACACGAUUGUGAAGUCCGCUGAAAGAACGAUACAUAAGUCCGUCUCCAAAAAGCAUAUAAACAACGGU